This 58-nucleotide transfer RNA is filed under the name Tachaea chinensis. Its description in RNAcentral is "tRNA-Ile". The record is from RNAcentral. Lineage: Eukaryota; Metazoa; Arthropoda; Malacostraca; Isopoda; Corallanidae.
GUUAUUAAAACAAGGUUUUUUGUUUAUUACAAUAAUAUUGUAAUAAACAAGAAUGAAG